Molecule: ribosomal RNA, 1394 nt
Filed under: uncultured bacterium
Lineage: Bacteria
Description: bacterial SSU rRNA
Rfam family: Bacterial small subunit ribosomal RNA
Source: RNAcentral
AGAGUUUGAUCCUGGCUCAGAUUGAACGCUGGCGGCAGGCCUAACACAUGCAAGUCGAGCGGUAGAGAGGAGCUUGCUCCUCUUGAGAGCGGCGGACGGGUGAGUAAUGCCUAGGAAUCUGCCUGGUAGUGGGGGAUAACGUUCGGAAACGGACGCUAAUACCGCAUACGUCCUACGGGAGAAAGCAGGGGACCUUCGGGCCUUGCGCUAUCAGAUGAGCCUAGGUCGGAUUAGCUAGUUGGUGAGGUAAUGGCUCACCAAGGCGACGAUCCGUAACUGGUCUGAGAGGAUGAUCAGUCACACUGGAACUGAGACACGGUCCAGACUCCUACGGGAGGCAGCAGUGGGGAAUAUUGGACAAUGGGCGAAAGCCUGAUCCAGCCAUGCCGCGUGUGUGAAGAAGGUCUUCGGAUUGUAAAGCACUUUAAGUUGGGAGGAAGGGCAGUAAAUUAAUACUUUGCUGUUUUGACGUUACCGACAGAAUAAGCACCGGCUAACUCUGUGCCAGCAGCCGCGGUAAUACAGAGGGUGCAAGCGUUAAUCGGAAUUACUGGGCGUAAAGCGCGCGUAGGUGGUUUGUUAAGUUGGAUGUGAAAUCCCCGGGCUCAACCUGGGAACUGCAUUCAAAACUGACUGACUAGAGUAUGGUAGAGGGUGGUGGAAUUUCCUGUGUAGCGGUGAAAUGCGUAGAUAUAGGAAGGAACACCAGUGGCGAAGGCGACCACCUGGACUAAUACUGACACUGAGGUGCGAAAGCGUGGGGAGCAAACAGGAUUAGAUACCCUGGUAGUCCACGCCGUAAACGAUGUCAACUAGCCGUUGGAAGCCUUGAGCUUUUAGUGGCGCAGCUAACGCAUUAAGUUGACCGCCUGGGGAGUACGGCCGCAAGGUUAAAACUCAAAUGAAUUGACGGGGGCCCGCACAAGCGGUGGAGCAUGUGGUUUAAUUCGAAGCAACGCGAAGAACCUUACCAGGCCUUGACAUCCAAUGAACUUUCUAGAGAUAGAUUGGUGCCUUCGGGAGCAUUGAGACAGGUGCUGCAUGGCUGUCGUCAGCUCGUGUCGUGAGAUGCUGGGUUAAGUCCCGUAACGAGCGCAACCCUUGUCCUUAGUUACCAGCACGUAAUGGUGGGCACUCUAAGGAGACUGCCGGUGACAAACCGGAGGAAGGUGGGGAUGACGUCAAGUCAUCAUGGACCUUACGGCCUGGGCUACACACGUGCUACAAUGGUCGGUACAGAGGGUUGCCAAGCCGCGAGGUGGAGCUAAUCCCACAAAACCGAUCGUAGUCCGGAUCGCAGUCUGCAACUCGACUGCGUGAAGUCGGAAUCGCUAGUAAUCGCGAAUCAGAAUGUCGCGGUGAAUACGUUCCCGGGCCUUGACACACGGCCCGUC